Long non-coding RNA from Danaus plexippus (monarch butterfly), 1432 nucleotides. RefSeq lists it as uncharacterized. The transcript has 3 exons. NCBI's taxonomy places the organism in Eukaryota, Metazoa, Arthropoda, Insecta, Lepidoptera, Nymphalidae. The record is from RefSeq and is a predicted model, not a curated record.
ACGCGUGCGGUGGAGACAUUUUGUUAUUUAUUUAUUUCAUUUUAUAUCGACUCCCCCGCUAUCUAAACGGUAGACAAUGACCAGAUGUUGAUAUUUUUUUCAUAUAUUACAAUGUAUUUUAAGUUCUGAUGCUCAUUGUGAUGGAGAUGUGGCAGUUUCCGUUGUCAUGAUCGUUUUGGUUCUAGUUAACGGAUGAGAGACGUUAUUCUAAUUGUCAAAUAAUAUUCGUAUGGUUUAGUAUGUUAUUGUAUUUAUGUAACAGUACAUAACGUCAGAUUUGAAAGUAAAAACUAAAGGUAAUGGAUUCGAUAUAAACAAUUUAGAUAUCGUUUUAUUAAACAUAUUCGUCGGCAAAAUAAAUAUUCGUAACUUGAUCGUAAUCAUAAUGCCGAGUCAUUAAAUUAAAAAAAAUCAAACCGAGUAACACUACAUGGAAUUGAAAAUCUCUGACAUUUAUGUAUAUAAAUUAAUAUAUAAUCGAACAUGAUAAUGUGCAGGUAUAUAUAGAUAACAUACAUUUGUUUCAUGAAUACUCGUAACACGGGCGGUGAAAUUUACAGCGGCCCUAUAUAGAACAGCACUUAUAGGUGUGUGGACGCGCGUCCAUCCUUUAUGUUAUAAUGUUCAAGGGACAAGCUGCGACUAUGGAGUGGGCACCCAUCACGCACAUUGUGAUGAUACAGUGUGUUCAAUAUACUACACUAUACUAAAUACAUGAUUACUUAAUAUUAAUUAUUUAUUUUCAUAAAUAUAAAAUAAUUCAUGGAUAGCGAAAAUCAUUUUCUUGUGAUAUAUAUUUCGUUUGUUGAAUAAUUAAAUAAUAAGUAAUAGUAAGAAAAAAAUAUAUGUAUGUACGGUUUAUGGAUUAUUCGUUUUUCGUAAAACAUCGGAUCGUCACUGUAGGAAUAGUUAUAGGAAUGGUAAUAAAUAUGUUGCAUCAUACAAAAAUACAAACAUAUUUUGAACACCCUUUUCACGGUCAUACAUAAAAAUAUCCACAUUAAAUACGUGGUUUAAAAGAUUUUUUACCCUGCAGUCGAUGGACGCCAUUGACGGCUUGGAUUCGAGCAUUUUGGGGUCACUUUUUGGAGAUUAUUCGGUAUUGUGCUGGCGAUUCUAAAAACCCUUACAAAGAUCCUAAGCCCUGUUGACUGACCGAGUACCUUUGUACAAUAUAACGGUACGCUUUAACAUAUACAUUACAUCUUGAUGUAACUUACGAACAGAGAAUUUAGAUAUUGAUCACGAUGAAGAUAUUCUCAACGAGAAAUUGGCUUUGGAUUUUUAAAACUCAAUUGAGUUUGAUUGUGUUCAGCCACGUGUCCUAAAAGAUAUGUAUCAAUUUAUAUAAAUAAUAUAAUGUUUUAUUUCAAGCAUAAGUAUUUAUAUAUAAUUCCACCGUAGAUCGGAUGUAUAUAGUUUGUAGAAAUAA